UGAGGAAUCGACAUUCUAAUGAACGAAGAAUCAUUGGAAUUUCCCAUCUUUUUCAGCUCUGCUCCCGAAAAGAGAAAGGAGACUGAUCUUGAUGUCGGCGUUGGUUUUUCCAACGAAACAUUCUUUCACGAACUUUCAUGACAAAACUAAAUGCUAGUUGCCUCGUAACGCAUACACUGGAGCGUUUGUCCCAUCGACGAAGGCCACUAUACGCGUUUUCUGAAG
RNAcentral lists this long non-coding RNA (225 nucleotides) under Hordeum vulgare. RNAcentral's name for it is "long non-coding RNA (HVUL_LNC004542)". The record is from RNAcentral. Lineage: Eukaryota; Viridiplantae; Streptophyta; Magnoliopsida; Poales; Poaceae.